Molecule: long non-coding RNA, 460 nt
Organism: Asparagus officinalis (garden asparagus)
Lineage: Eukaryota; Viridiplantae; Streptophyta; Magnoliopsida; Asparagales; Asparagaceae
Exons: 3
Source: RefSeq, a predicted model, not a curated record
UUUUCCUGUUGUAAACGUUAAGUUGAUUAGAGAAUCAAAGGUGAAUGAGAAAAUGAAGAAGAAGGAAGAAGAAGACUAUACGCCAUGAUAUUUUCAAGCUAAUGAGGAGCUGGUCGAUAGCAGGGGGGUCAUAUUUUGAGAAACUAAAACAAUAUAAGAUCUGACGUAGCUACAUAAUAGCUGAACUUUUGGUUAUGGCGCUUUGCUGAGAGGCGUUAUAUGGAGAGCCUCCUUUUUGAUGUUACAUACAAUCAACAAUGUGCUUUAUUUAGUAGAAUGCUUAUAAUGGUGAGCUUGUGGGUUGUAAGUACCGAUUAGAUACAUAUAUAUAGUUACUUUGAACUUCUAUCAUCAGCAGGUUUAUAAAUGAUUUGAGAUAAACUAUGUAAUAUGAAGUGCCAGGCUUGACUCGUGCAUGAGACUUGUCUUGUGCAUGGGUCGUUGCUAUCAUGUAACCUGU